This 470-nucleotide ribosomal RNA is filed under the name uncultured bacterium. Its description in RNAcentral is "bacterial SSU rRNA". It matches the Rfam family "Bacterial small subunit ribosomal RNA", at positions 1032 to 1503 of the family's 1533-position model. The record is from RNAcentral.
UGACAGGUGGUGCAUGGUCGUCGUCAGCUCGUGUCGUGAGAUGUUGGGUUAAGUCCCGCAACGAGCGCAACCCUUGUUACUAGUUGCCAGCAUUUAGUUGGGCACUCUAGUGAGACUGCCGGUGACAAACCGGAGGAAGGUGGGGACGACGUCAGAUCAUCAUGCCCCUUAUGACCUGGGCUACACACGUGCUACAAUGGACGGUACAACGAGUUGCGAACUCGCGAGAGUAAGCUAAUCUCUUAAAGCCGUUCUCAGUUCGGACUGUAGGCUGCAACUCGCCUACACGAAGUCGGAAUCGCUAGUAAUCGCGGAUCAGCAUGCCGCGGUGAAUACGUUCCCGGGCCUUGUACACACCGCCCGUCACACCAUGGAAGUUUGCAAUGCCCAAAGUCGGUGGCCUAACCAUUUGGAGGGAACCGCCUAAGGCAGGGCAGAUGACUGGGGUGAAGUCGUAACAAGGUAACCGU